AUCGCUCGCGAUGUUUAACUGACAUGAUUGUGGGACGUCCUACCGGUGGACUUAGCCUCUAUCUCUUCGGAUCUAGGGGCGGUCCAGCUAAUAUCCCAUCGCGGUGCUUUUCAUACGAGUGUCGAGGUGGGCCGGUACGUUUACUUUGAACAAAUUAGAGUGCUCAAAGCAGGCCAUCCUCGCCUGAAUACUGUGUGCAUGGAAUAAUGGAAUAGGACCUCGGUUC
Molecule: ribosomal RNA, 226 nt
Filed under: Paraspicera sp. MB387
Lineage: Eukaryota; Metazoa; Arthropoda; Insecta; Hymenoptera; Figitidae
Description: partial 18S ribosomal RNA
Source: RNAcentral